This 253-nucleotide ribosomal RNA is filed under the name uncultured bacterium. RNAcentral describes it as "partial 16S ribosomal RNA". It matches the Rfam family "Bacterial small subunit ribosomal RNA", at positions 524 to 776 of the family's 1533-position model. The record is from RNAcentral.
UACAGAGGUCUCAAGCGUUGUUCGGAUUCAUUGGGCGUAAAGGGUGCGUAGGCGGCGCGGUAAGUCGGGUGUGAAAUCUCGGGGCUUAACUCCGAAACUGCAUUCGAUACUACCGUGCUUGAGGACUGGAGAGGAGACUGGAAUUUACGGUGUAGCGGUGAAAUGCGUAGAUAUCGUAAGGAAGACCAGUGGCGAAGGCGGGUCUCUGGACAGCUCCUGACGCUGAGGCACGAAGGUCAGGGGAGCAAACGGG